GAUGAAGAACGCAGCGAAAUGCGAUACGUAAUGUGAAUUGCAGAAUUCAGUGAAUCAUCGAGUCUUUGAACGCACAUUGCGCCCCCUGGUAUUCCGGGGGGCAUGCCUGUCCGAGCGUCAUUGCUGCCCUCAAGCACGGCUUGUGUGUUGGGCCUCCGUCCUCCUCCCGGGGGACGGGCCCGAAAGGCAGCGGCGGCACCGCGUCCGGUCCUCGAGCGUAUGGGGCUUCGUCACCCGCUCUUGUAGGCCCGGCCGGCGCUUGCCGACACAUCAAUCUUUUUUCGAGGUUGACCUCGGAUCAGGUAGGGAUACCCGCUGAACUUAAGCAUAUCAAUAAGCGGAGGA
This 345-nucleotide unclassified non-coding RNA is filed under the name soil metagenome. RNAcentral describes it as "partial contains 5.8S ribosomal RNA, internal transcribed spacer 2, and large subunit ribosomal RNA". The stretch from base 1 to 120 matches the Rfam family "5.8S ribosomal RNA", at positions 35 to 154 of the family's 154-position model. The record is from RNAcentral.